UCCGUAGGUGAACCUGCGGAAGGAUCAUCACAAAAAGAAAGUAUUAAAAUGUGGGGGGUGGGUUGGAUUGAAAAAACUGGUUAAGGCGAGCUUUGCGUCCCGUCUCUUUGGUUGAAGAGAUGGGAACGAGUUCACACCUCCUGUUUCGGAAAAGACCCCCCGAGGAAAUGAGAGAGAUGACAAAGCCACAGGCGGCAAUUUCGCCGCCGCUCGUGCCGGAUUGCGGGCGAACAACCCGGCUACCGGCGCUGCUCUUUUCCCGUGCUCUUGUGGAUUUCCACUUUUUACUCUUUUUCUUCUGAUGCGCUAAGGGUGCUUUGGUGCACCCGACAAAAAAUGCGGAUAACUUUUAACAAUGGAUCUCUUGGCUCUCGCAUCGAUGAAGGACGCAGCGAAAUGCGAUAGGUAGUGUGAAUUGCAGAAUUCAGUGAAUCAUCGAAUCUUUGAACGCACAUUGCGCCCUCUGGUUAUCCCAGAGGGCACUCUUGUUUGAAGCCCCGGAAAGGACGGUCGCUUUGCGGCCAGGUUGCUGGACGUGCAAAAGUUUGGGGGUCAUUCCGGAACAGCGUUGAGGCCUUCCUCCGCAUCCAAGUCUGACAAACCCGAGCAGCUCCCGGGAGAAGGGUCCGCGAGGGAAUGCGGUUUCCCGCGUUUUUUUUUCGCGUCUGAACGUGUGUGCUUCCGUUCACACGAUCCCCCCGGUGAUUCCAGGCCCAACAGGCACGCCGUCGUAAUGAGCAUCGACGGUGUACAUUGGUAUUAUACGUAUCAAGUCAAACGACAAUACCUAUAAUACUAAUGUAUAUAACUAUAUUACGUGUUCUCAUGCGGCCCGGUCGUCCCAAAUGUAUCCCUCUACGUCGCCGGUGAAUAGCGCUCCCUCUGUUACCUCUUUCUGUUGCUUUUCUGCGCGUUUGGUGCUUUCGUUAGGGUGUACUAUAUGUGCUUUUUAGUAUAUAGAAGGUUGGUGUCGCUUUGCAGUUUCUUAGGUAGUUAGAGAUUUCAGAACGACAGGGAGCGGAAGUAGCCACAUGGCAAAAAAUGACGUUCAGGCCAAUUUUAUUUCACCAGAAUGGAAGGGGGUUUCAAAUCAAGAGGGAUUACCCGCUGAACUUAAGCAUAUCAAUAAGCGGAGGA
RNAcentral lists this ribosomal RNA (1137 nucleotides) under Olpidium bornovanus. RNAcentral's name for it is "eukaryotic LSU rRNA". The stretch from base 345 to 498 matches the Rfam family "5.8S ribosomal RNA". The record is from RNAcentral. Lineage: Eukaryota; Fungi; Olpidiomycota; Olpidiomycetes; Olpidiales; Olpidiaceae.